AUGCUCCAAUUGGAGCAGCUUGCUGGGAAUCACCAAGUGAGGCUGGCACCUAUGGGGCCUGGAGCUGCAACACUGGCACCGAUGUCUCUGGCUGGCCUUGCAGAUGGCACACUUCUCCUACUGUGCUGCCUGUGCCCCAGGUACCUCCAGUGGGAUGCCAGCAUGGCUCCUGCCUCCUCUGGCUGGCUCAGAGCCAGGAUGAUGGGUUUCCUGCUCUCCCUGAAGGCACUGAGGCUGGUGGGAGAGCUGGACCAGGCUGAGCGGUGGCUGCAAGACGUGGCUGGGUCACUCUUGGAACCAGCCACCAUGAGAAGCCCGGCGGAUCUGCGCCAGGAGCUGGAAGAGAUGAGCCGGCUGGAGAAGCAGCUCCUGCUCUGUGGCCUCAAGCUGCAGGCACUGCAGGAAGAAGCAGCAGGCGAGUCAUCCACUGAGCACGAGGGGGCAAGGAAGAUGCAGAGGAAAGUGGAGAUGGUGGAGGAGAAGUUGGCACAUGUGCAGGCAGCCCUACGGCACCGGGCAGCAGAUCUGCGGGACUCCCUGGUGCUGUCUGAGUUCCUGCAGGACCUGCAAGAGGAGGAGGCACGGAGCCAGCAGGGAUCGGCAGCGGCAGGGAUUGAGCGUUCUGGAUCGCAGGGGUGUUUUCCCAUGCUCUCAGCCCAGACUGAGAAGUCUCCAAGCAGUGAGGACAUGAGCCGCCCCUUGGGAGAGCUGCAGGAGGCCAUGGAGAUGCUGAAUGACGCAGCAAAGGAGCGGGAGAGGGUCAUGAAGGUGGCAGCAGAGACAGAGAGCCUGGAGCGUCUGGUGGUGAAGAUAUCCCCACAGCUGGAGGCCCUUCAGUGCAGAGCCAAGGCUCUGUCUCAAGACAUUGCCCUAGCAGAGAACAGCUUCACCACGGUGAAGAGUGAGAAGGACCUGCAAGGGCUGGAGGGCUUGCUAAGCUGCCAGCAGGAGAUGGAGCAUGCAGUGUCACAGACCCUGCAAGGGCAGCUGGAGGAGCUGGAGAGGGCAGCUGCCCGCUUGCAAGAGCUGUGCCCCGCUCGGCAGUGCCCCAUCAGCUGGGAGCUGCAGGAGACUCUGUGGGCCUGGGCAGAGCUGCGAGAGCUGCUGCAGGAGACCCGGCUCCGCGUGCAGCAGGCUAGCCAGCUUCGGCACUUCUUCAAGGAUUACUUAGCCAUGAUCUCCUGGACUGAGGACACACGGGCUCAGAUCUUCUCUGAAAGCCCAAGCAGCUCCAGUAUCCCGGGGACUCCAUGUGAGGAACUGGAGAGCAGAAUUGAAGAGAAACUCAAGGAGUUUGAGGCACUAGCAGCAGCAGGGCAGCAGCUGGUGUCUGAGGAGCACUACCUGAGUGCAACAAUAAAGGAGCGCUUGGAAGAGCUGCAGAGCAUGCUGGGCUGGGUGCUGGUGCGGUGGCGAGCACAGAGGCAUCAGCAGCAGGAUCUGGGGAGCAGGCAGGAAGACAAGAGGGAGGUGGAGAACCUCUCAAGCACAUCCCCUACUGGUCAAGAGCAGCAUGCCUCACAUGUUCCACCCCACCUGGAAAGCAUCCACAGCCCAGUGAAGUUCAUGCCCUCCUCCCUCCUUGAACCUGUGCAAAGAUUAGAGCCAAAGCUUCCAGAGAAAACAGCCAUCUCCCCACCCACAUCACCCCUCUCAGAUACCCCAUCAGGAGUGGAGCAGAGCUGGGGGGAGCCCAGCAGCAAAACACCCCGUGAUGCGGAAUCCCAGGAGGCUGCCACCUGGGAUCCUGCUGAGACCUCCACGCUGCUGCUGCCACCACGGGGCCCCUGUGGUCUCGGGGGGACGGUCAGCCUCAUCCUCAGCAUUGGCAAGAAGGGCGAGAAGAAGAAGGCACAGUUGCUGGCCAGCAGCGAGCGGCCAGGGGAGGACGCGCUGCCAACGGUGCAGGUGGAGGCCAGGAAAACCUACACCGCAAAGUGGCUUCCCGCUGUUGUCCGCCGCCCUCCAGCAUCCAGCGGUGGGAUGCCGGCUGUCUCCCACACCCUGCCCAAGGCUGGGGCUGGCUGUCUCUUCAGCAGCCUGCAGCGGUGGGAGCAGGCCAGGGCAGAGCAGGCCCAGCUGCUGACUCUCCGGGGCAUCAUGGGUGACAGCUCCCUGCGGCCCAUGCCUGAGAAAUGCCAUGGCCCCAGCAACACCUGGCCUCACAAGUGUGGUUGGAGGAAGGGGGGGUCAGGGGCAGCUGCUGCUGGACCUCAGCUUGGGGAGCUGCUCCUCUACGUCAGGAACCCGCUGGUGCAGGACAUCGAUGCCGAGUGCGGGGCAGCCCCUCAGAAUCCCUGCCUCCCUAACCCAAAAAUCACAUGCCCCCGUGUUUCCCUGGGCUCUGUGCUCAGCCUGGAGCUGCCACGGGAUGCAGUGGUCCUGGGGUGCCACCGAGGGGCUGCGGCACACCAGCAGGAGGCAGAGGGGCAGGAGCAGAGGCAGGAUGAAGGGGUGGGGCCUUGGAAGCCCACAGGCACACAUGGAGUUGGAUGGCAGGAAGAUGGGCACAGUUCCCAGGGGCCCAGCAAGAGGCUGGUGAUACCGCCCAAGAGUGAGCAAGAAACGUGGUUCAAGGAGGUGAGCUUCAACCCCAGUUACAGCCAACAAAGAGCACACUGUGCUGGGAAGGAGCACUGGAACCUGCAGCACCCCAGCAGCACCAGUAAAGACUUUCUGGACUUGAGGCCGAGCCAGCCAUCCCAUGUCAGUAUGGGGGAUGAGCUGGCCACCUGCUUUGGCCAGGACGACAGCCCCACUGCCACUGGCAGGGCCAGGCAUCUCAGAGCUGCUUGGCUAGAGCUUGGAUCAUCCCCUGCCAGCACCCCAGGCAGGGCUGGAGCCAUCCCCAGCCCUGCCUGCACACAGCAGCCAGCCAGCAGCAACCAGCCCAGAGGGUCCCCAGCUUCCCCUGCCACCCCCACCCAGCUCUCUGUCUUUGAGUGGGCACUGGGGUCUCCACAUCCCCAGAGCCCUGCACAGGUAACUAAGGAAGUUUGCCACCCUGCCCACAGGCAGUUUGAGGAAGAGGAGGAGGAGCUGCAGGCCAUCUGGGAUGGAGCACACAAACAACAGGUACAGAGCUCACCAGGAGACAGCUGUGCCAGCCACCAGAUGGGCAGCAGGGCAGGCAGCUUGCCCAGCCCCAGUGCCACUACUGGAGGACCCCUCAUCCUGUCAUCAGCCAAUAAUGUGCUAGUAGCCAAAUUUACCCUUCCCACCACUGGCCAGCUGCUCCACAGCCCGUUGGGAGAGAAGAGCCCUGGGGUGGUGCACAGUGGCAGUGGCAGUCCCAAUGGGCUCAGGGUUUCCCCCUACUUGGAGAAGCUGGUGUCUGCAGCCCCCUUGGAUGCCUCUAGUGCCUGGGAUCAGCGGAGGUAUCAGCAAGAGGAGAGAGAGAGCAGCAAGGUCCUGCCUGCUAAAAUGGAAUUUCAGAUGAUGGAGGGAACACUGGAAAGGAAGCACGUAUUGCAGACAGGAGGGAGAAAGGUACAGACAUGGCUGUGGGGCUCCUUUGGGAUAGGGUUGCUGGGACAUGACGGGGUAGAGGGAAGCCAGGGAUGUUCCUGGAACUACCACAGCAAUGCUGCUGGCCAUUUUGGAAGGGCAGAGUCUCAGAGGGGCUGGGCCACAUUUGAGUGGCAUGAGACCAUCUGUCUUCUUCCAAAGCUGUUGGCAUCACAGCUGUGCCCUGCUUGUGUCCCGCAGGCCAGCUGCCGGGCCUGGGGCCUCUUUCACGCUGUGCUGAUGAGGCAGACACUGUGCUUCUACCAGGACCGCAGGGACAGCCUCAAGAGCUCCAUGGUGGCCCUUACCCUGAACCUCUCCGGAGCAGUCUGUACCCCAGAUGCUGAAUACACCAAGAAGACCAACUGCUUCAGGCUUCAGCUGCAGGAUGGCUCUGAAUACCUUCUGAGGGCCCCCACACAGCCCCUCAUGAACGAAUGGGUCUCAAAGCUGCAGCAAAACUCAGGUUUCCCCGAAGUGGAUUACUUCCAGGCAGCAGCACAGCGUGUUGAGAGCACUGGUAGUACUGGCACUUUCAGCAAGGUCUCCAGCCCUGGGACCUCCCACCUCCAGGGACAUCAUCAGGUCACGACCACCAAGAGCCAGGAGAUUGUGGUGCUACCCUGCGCAAGCCCACUACUGCAGCGGCCUCUGGGCAGCCAGGAUGGCCCAGUUGGUGGGACUGUGACAGCAGCAGCUUCAGAGAAUGCUCAGGGGACUGGGCACAAGGAGCAGCAGUGGUCAUCCAGGGCAUCCCCCGGGCUGUGGGACAACAUCUGCCCAGAGGAUGACUAUGGACUGGUGGCCAACAAGAGGAGGUCCUAUUCCUUCACCUCAGCCACCUACCAGAAGAUCACCCCGCUGGCCGUGCCCAAGGAGCCAGUGGAAGCCGGGAGCAGUUACUCCGUCACACUGUACAUAGGGGAGCAGGUGUCAGCCAUGCCCCGGGCACGCUGUCACUCCUUCGUGGCCCAAACAGGGAGCCCCCGGGACACACGAGGGGAGAAGACCACUAGCCCCUCUCGCACCAAGAACAAAUCUGUCUUCAAGAAGUUCUUUGGGAAAAAAGAGUGAGCCCCAGACAAAGGGAGAAAAUGCCCUAACCUGCCUCUUAUCCUCCUCUUGGGCCAUUCUGGCUUGAUAUCUACUCCCAGCACCAGUUCAUGGCUUACUGCCUCCGCAGGGGAAAGAGGCUGUGCCAAGUGCCUCUGCUUCAGCCAGCCCCAGGUCUGCCCUGUGCCCCAGGCACUGCAGCCCCCAGGCUCAGCCUGGUGCUGAGCACCCCUCCUGCCCAGUGCUCUCCCUGGGUGCUGCUGGCUCCCCAAGCAUCCUAAUGACACACAGCACAAGCAGAGGGCGUGGAUGAUGGUUCUUAUUAAAAUAUAAAUAGACACUUAGUGUGGGAGCUAUUUUGUCCAGCAGCAUCCAUCAGCACAGAAGGAAAGGAGCUCUCUGCAAGGUGGUCCUUGCUAAGGAGUAAGGGGAGCUUCAGAUGAGGAGGGCCCUGCAGUGAGGUUCAGUCCUGCUUGCGGGGGGAAGCUUGAGCUGUUUAGUGCCUUUCAAGGAUGCUUCACAAGGAUGCUUUGUCCCUUGCUUCCUCUCUGCCUGCACUCAGCCCAGCUAAUCCCACAGGCUAUCUGGGCCCCUUUUUCCCUGCCCUGGGAGCUUAG
Long non-coding RNA from Chloebia gouldiae (Gouldian finch), 5177 nucleotides. Lineage: Eukaryota; Metazoa; Chordata; Aves; Passeriformes; Passeridae. The record is from Ensembl.